AGAACGAACGCUGGCGGCAUGCCUAACACAUGCAAGUCGAACGAGACCUUCGGGUCUAGUGGCGCACGGGUGCGUAACGCGUGGGAAUCUGCCCUUGGGUUCGGGAUAACAGUUGGAAACGACUGCUAAUACCGGAUGAUGUCUUCGGACCAAAGAUUUAUCGCCCAAGGAUGAGCCCGCGUAGGAUUAGCUUGUUGGUGAGGUAAGAGCUCACCAAGGCGACGAUCCUUAGCUGGUCUGAGAGGAUGAUCAGCCACACUGGGACUGAGACACGGCCCAGACUCCUACGGGAGGCAGCAGUGGGGAAUAUUGGACAAUGGGCGAAAGCCUGAUCCAGCAAUGCCGCGUGAGUGAUGAAGGCCGUUAAGGGUGUAAAGCUUACGUUUUACCCGGGAUGAUAAUGAACGAGGUACCGGAAGAACUAACGCCCCGACUAACCGUCCGUGACCAACGACGACCG
Molecule: ribosomal RNA, 460 nt
Filed under: uncultured soil bacterium
Lineage: Bacteria
Description: bacterial SSU rRNA
Rfam family: Bacterial small subunit ribosomal RNA
Source: RNAcentral